CCUACGGGAGGCAGCAGUGGGGAAUAUUGGGCAAUGGAGGCAACUCUGACCCCGCAACGCCGCGUGAAUGAUGAAGGUCUUCGGAUUGUAAAGUUCUGUGAUGGGGGAUGAAAACAAUGACGGUACCCCAAUAGCAAGCCACGGCUAACUACGUGCCAGCAGCCGCGGUAAUACGUAGGUGGCAAGCGUUAUCCGGAAUGACUGGGCGUAAGGGGUGCGUAGGUGGUUUAGUAAGUUGGCGGUGUAAUGCCGGGGCUCAACCUCGGCGCUACCGCCAAAACUAUUAGACUAGAGUGCAGGAGGGGUAAGUGGAAUUCCUAGUGUAGCGGUGGAAUGCGUAGAGAUUAGGAAGAACAUCAGGGGCGAAGGCGACUUACUGGACUGUAACUGACACUGAGGCACGAAAGCGUGGGGAGCAAACAGGAUUAGAUACCCGGGUAGUC
Molecule: ribosomal RNA, 443 nt
Filed under: uncultured bacterium
Lineage: Bacteria
Description: partial 16S ribosomal RNA
Rfam family: Bacterial small subunit ribosomal RNA
Source: RNAcentral